CUGCACGGAGAAGAGCAGCGCUGCGGAUGGCUGCGUUCAGAGUAACGUGGUGUCUGCGCCUCACGACACAAAAGUCCAAGUUCGCCGAUUCCGGAGUGAGCAACUUAUUGUACAGUAACCCUUCCUACCGAACCUCAACACAGGAAGUGAAAAUAGAAACAGCACAGAAACCACCAAUAUACAACCAGCUAUGAUAUAAAAAAAGAGGAGGGCAGUUACACCACCGAGAAUAUUCGUAUCGUGGAGGGGGUGUGUCUGCUCUCGGGGGAGGAGCUUUACUGGGAGGAUCUGAAGCAGCUAAAGGUGCUUCUGAUGCGCACCGAUACGGUGUCCUUACUGGCCAGCUCCGCCUCCCUCCAGGCCAGCUCCGCCUCCCUCCAGGCCAGCUCCGCCUCCCUCCAGGCCAGCUCCGCCUCCUUGGACGACACCGAGACCGAACAGCUGCUUCUAGGCGACUAAUCGGAAUGCUCAAGUUUGAGCACUGCUCCCGUGGUGACGCCCAAACGCCACAGUGCACUCCCUGACAUGGGCUGGGUCCCGAAUCGCAAGCCAUCCACUGAGAGCGAAGU
This is a long non-coding RNA of Silurus meridionalis, 569 nucleotides long. RefSeq lists it as uncharacterized. The transcript is spliced from 3 exons. The record is from RefSeq and is a predicted model, not a curated record. Lineage: Eukaryota; Metazoa; Chordata; Actinopteri; Siluriformes; Siluridae.